RNAcentral lists this ribosomal RNA (485 nucleotides) under uncultured soil bacterium. Its description in RNAcentral is "bacterial SSU rRNA". It matches the Rfam family "Bacterial small subunit ribosomal RNA", at positions 26 to 518 of the family's 1533-position model. The record is from RNAcentral.
AGGACGAACGCUGGCGGCGUGCCUAAUACAUGCAAGUCGAGCGGGGCUACCUCCGGUGGCAACACUGGUGGUAGCCGAGCGGCGAACGGGUGAGUAACACGUGAGGAACCUGCCCCGAAGACCGGGAUACGCCGGGGAAACCUGGUCUAAUACCGGAUACCCUCAUUGGAUCGCAUGGUCCGAUGAGGAAAUGGAUUCCGCUUCGGGAGGGCCUCGCGGCCUAUCAGCUUGUUGGUGAGGUAACGGCUCACCAAGGCAGCGACGGGUAGCUGGUCUGAGAGGACGAUCAGCCACACUGGGACUGAGACACGGCCCAGACUCCUACGGGAGGCAGCAGUAGGGAAUCUUGCGCAAUGGGCGAAAGCCUGACGCAGCAACGCGCGUGGGGAUGAAGCUCUCGGUUCGUAACCCCUUUCAGCGAGGACGAAAACUGACGGUACCUGACAAGAAGAACGCCCCGGACCAACGUACGUGCCAGCAGCCGC